This 378-nucleotide unclassified non-coding RNA is filed under the name plant metagenome. RNAcentral's name for it is "partial contains 5.8S ribosomal RNA, internal transcribed spacer 2, and large subunit ribosomal RNA". The stretch from base 1 to 105 matches the Rfam family "5.8S ribosomal RNA", at positions 50 to 154 of the family's 154-position model. The record is from RNAcentral.
GAAAUGCGAUAAGUAAUGUGAAUUGCAGAAUUCAGUGAAUCAUCGAAUCUUUGAACGCACCUUGCGCUCCUUGGUAUUCCUUGGAGCAUGCCUGUUUGAGUAUCAUGAAAUCUUCAAAGUAAAUCUUUUGUUAACUCAAUUGGUUUCUACUUUGGUAUUGGAGGUCUUUGCAGCUUCACACCUGCUCCUCUUUGUUCAUUAGCUGGAUCUCAGUGUUAUGCUUGGUUCCACUCGGCGUGAUAAGUUAUCUAUCGCUGAGGACACUGUAAAAGGUGGCCAAGGUAAAUGCAGAUGAACCGCUUCUCAUAGUCCAUUGACUUGGACAAUACUUUUAUGAUCUGAUCUCAAAUCAGGUAGUACUACCCGCUGAACUUAAGC